This 330-nucleotide ribosomal RNA is filed under the name Filenchus sp. 1 WB-2009. RNAcentral's name for it is "bacterial SSU rRNA". It matches the Rfam family "Eukaryotic small subunit ribosomal RNA", at positions 594 to 945 of the family's 1831-position model. The record is from RNAcentral. Lineage: Eukaryota; Metazoa; Nematoda; Chromadorea; Rhabditida; Tylenchidae.
AUAGCGUAUAUUUAAGUUGUUGCAGUUAAAAAGCUCGUAGUUGGAUGUCUGCCGGGGCGCGCGGUGCGCCCUCGGGCGCGACUGCGCGUCCCGGCUUGUGCCGGGGGCGGGGACGAACAGUCCCAGCCGCCGGCGGUUUACUUUGAACAAAUCAGAGUGCUCAACACAGGCGUCUCGCCUGAAUGUUCGUGCAUGGAAUAAUGGAAGAGGAUUUCGGUUCUGUUUUAUUGGUUUUUGGACGCCGAGGUAAUGGUUAAUAGAGACAAACGGGGGCAUUCGUACCGCUGCGUGAGAGGUGAAAUUCUUGGACCGCAGCGAGACGCACGACAG